Molecule: RNA transcript, 3194 nt
Organism: Olea europaea var. sylvestris
Lineage: Eukaryota; Viridiplantae; Streptophyta; Magnoliopsida; Lamiales; Oleaceae
Exons: 4
Source: RefSeq, a predicted model, not a curated record
CUCAUUUCCCCUUCAAUAAUUCAAUCGUUCGUCUUUCUUUUCCUCGAUUCAUCAUCUUCAAAUAAUUCACCCUCAACAAUAUAUAAGUAGGUGCAGUGUGCCGUUCCUCUUUAAUAGAAACUAUUAUAAUCCCAGGAUCAAGGAUCCGGCACCUCUUUCACAAUCGUCAAGAUCGAGUACAAAAUUUAAUCUCUGCAUGCAAAGGUUUUGCCGUUUUGGUUAAUGCGUUGGAUAUACGAUUUAUUAAUAAUCGGAAAUGGUUGUUCUUCUAAAUUGGAAUCUUUAUUAUUUAACUGAUGGAAAGUAUCGGUAAUCACCUUACCAGAGGGACGAUCAUAAGGUGGAAGUGCGAGUGCCUACUGACUAAGAAGUCUGCCGGCCUUUGCUGUCUGACUUGUGGUUUCCUCUUUUAUCUAACUGAUAAUUAUUUUGGGGGUUUUACUCUGUCCUCUUUUAGUUGGAUUGCCUUAUCAUGUUUAAGUUGAAGAGAGUGUUCGAAAUUUGCUCAAGGCAAAAAUUUUAAUAGAAAGAACAAGAAAGUAAUUAUGGUCGACAUGUUUAGGAGUUUGACCUGAUACAUGUUUCUCAUGUAGAAGUCAGUGAAAUUUGUCUACUCGCGUGGUAUGUUGGAUGAAGGAUACCACCUGCAUUUUGUUCAAUUUUAUGGUCAUCACAUGGAAUGUUAUGAGCCACACAUGGACCGACGUGCAGCGAUGUGGUUGAUUAUGGAUUCAGUGAACUUGUAACAUCGAUGAUAUCACUGAUACGUGCAUUGAGUUGCCUUUUUUAAAAUAAAAUUUCCUCAGCUUGUUCAGUACCAGUCAUAUUGUCAUUUAGGCGUAGUAAAUCUUGUGGUUCUUAUUUUGUGGAAUUAGGAAUGAAGAGGACAACAUAUUACAAUGAUGCUGCUCAGAUGCAGGAGCAGUGGCCUAUUAAGAAGGCACUCACCCUCUCUGAUGUCGAUAUUACUCAUCCAUUCUUGACAUUGUCCCGGCAACAAGUUGAAACUCAUAUUCUUGUGUAUAUGACACCUCAGCAGCAGGAAGAUCUAAGUACCAAUGGCCAAGUGGGCUUUAAUGCCCAAGAUGAUGAUACUGGUGAUGUGUAUGUGAUGAAAUUGAAGUGGCGUGGGAGCUAUUAUAAUCUCAUUGGCAAAUGGGGAAAAGUGAUACGAGGAAAGGGACUUGAUGUUGGGCAAGAAAUUAAGCUGAAGUGGUUUAAUGGAUGCUUACACUUUUCAGUUCCAGAACAGCAGGUUAUUGCAGUUCCCCCAACUCGAAUGGUUGCGGCCCCCCUAGUGCAGGACCACUGGCCUAUAAAAAAGGUCCUGACAUCGUCAGAUGUUGAUACUAAUCAUCCUUUUCUCCCAUUGCCUCGUAGAUCUGUGGAAGAUCAUAUUCUUGUGCAUUGGGUGCCACAAGAAAGAGAAGAAUUGAGAAAGGAAGAGCAGGUGUCAAUAAAUGCACGAGAUUAUGAUACAAGUGAUAUUCAUGUAAUGAAAUUGAAAUGGCGAGGUAAUUACUAUAAUCUCAUUGGGGGCUGGGCAAAUAUCAUUCGACAGAAAGGACUUGGCAUUGGUCAAGAAAUCAGAUUGCGCUGGGCAAAUAAUUGCUUGUACUUCUCAGUUCUAGCGGAGCAGUAUGUCUCAACAGCUUCUGGACAUGAUAAUUGGCCUAUCAAGAAAGCGCUCACAUUGUCUGAUGUGGAUACAAAUCAUCCAUUCCUUACUUUGCCAGGAAAAGCAGUUGAAGAUCACGUACUCUUGUACUGGUCACAGCAAGCUCGGGAACAGUUGAGGAAUGAACAUCAAAUUCGCAUUAAUGCUCGGGAUGAUGACACGGGUGAUCUAUAUGCAAUGAAGUUGAAAUGGCGCAGGAGUUACUAUAAUCUUAUUGGCAAGUGGGGCAAAAUCAUUAGAGAGAAGAGACUUCAAGUAGGAAGAGAGAUCAGAGUGCGUUGGGACAACGGAUGCUUGAUCUUCUCCGUUCUUGGGUGAUGCAUUUAUUUUGUGGAGAUAGGAUGCUAAUGAUUGGUGCAAGUGGUUUGCUGGAAUUUACAAAUUCAGCGAGGUUAUUGAUUCCCAGCAAUAUGUGUAGUAAUGUCUGCUUCAGUGUUACAGUGCAAGAUUGCUGAUGGUACAAUUCUAGGACAUUAACAGAAACAACCAGUUUUGGAGCUAGGGAUUUCGUAGAAACUGCUUUGUUGGGGCCUUUGCCAUUGUAUGAUUUUCAUUCACACUUUCAGGAAAGCUAGUCUCCGGAAUGUACAUUUGGUCUUCUGGGGAAAAUUUUGAGUAUUUCAGAAGUAGGUCCACUUCAUUGAAGGUUCUCUGCUCUGAGGAUUGAUAAUUCUUACCUUUCCAGUCUGCAAAAUGUAGAGCAUUCCAAAAGCUGAAAUUGCUUGAUGUCAUUUUUUGAUGCGUAAAAGCUUAUGCUGAUAUUUGCAAGCAGACGAGAAGCUGAAUUGGAAAACGAGAAUUUUGUAGAAAAUGAUUAAAUUUGUUCAUUGCAUGGCAUGCUUAAGAUUUACUGUAAUAGGAAAAAAUUGAUGGUUACUGUUUCUCAGCUUCUUGCUUAUUGGCUACAAUUCUGCAAGGUGGGUUGAGGAGGAGAAAGGAAGAUAAUUGCAGUCUAAGAAUGUCAUUGUGCUUGCUGGUGCCUAUAUGUGGUUCAAACAAUGAGGUUGCUGCAAACUGGUGUUGUAUUUGGGAUAAAAAGAAGCUUUGUCAAAGAAAUCGCAUCUGCAUUGAAUGAGCGGAAGGUCGAUGUAAGGCAGCAGUUUAGCUUGAAGAUCACUCAUUCCAAGUCUACUCUCUUGGAUAGAACUUCCGUUUGAGUUUUGCUCCAACUGAAAUUUUUGGUACUGAUUUUCCAAGAAAUUUUUUGCUGCAAAUGUGAAGUGAAAACUUAUCUUGGAUAACUUUGUGCAAAUGCAAACUGUAUAUGAAUUUACAUGUGGCCUCUUUUGAAUUUGGAUUUGUCGUGUUGGAUGUUAGACUGCAUAGGACUGGAUAAGAUCAAUAAGUAUUAAACUUUGUCCACGACCACUUCACUAUAUCAAACAUGGUACCGGCAAUGAGGUGGAAUUUUCGUGGUGAUUGUGAUGAUUUGCCAAAGAUAACUAGAGAUUGUGAUAUGAUUGAUUUCAAUUGAAUAAUGAAAGGUAGACCAAGGAAAGAAGCCUUCUUGUAACAA